RNAcentral lists this long non-coding RNA (478 nucleotides) under Felis catus (domestic cat). RNAcentral's name for it is "lncRNA (ENSFCAG00000052367.1)". The record is from RNAcentral. Lineage: Eukaryota; Metazoa; Chordata; Mammalia; Carnivora; Felidae.
CACGACGCCAGACCUGCUACCGAAAACACACUGCCAAGCAUGAUGCUGUUUAUCAAAACAAGAUACCUGAGGUGGGAGGAAGGUCACUCCUUGAACUUGAGUUCCAGUAGCGACUGUGAAAAGCUAGGACACAGAGGCAAGAUGAGGCCAAUAGGCCACCCUUCCCCACCCAGGACUUGAAACUUCUGUUAAAAGCAGUUAUAAGAAACAGUUAUGAGAAAAACAACAUCCUGGCCACCCAACCAAAGACUGCCAAACCAAGAAAUGGGCCUCAUACAGAACUGGGCAAAAGCCAGUGUGUGGAAGUCUAGAGCAGGGAGACGUGGAGUGUCUCUGUGAGCCAGUGACUAUCCACAAGCUGUUUGCUACCAGCUCAUGACAAGUAAGUGCAGAAAUUGAAAGUAAUUAUCUAAAAACACUUAUAGCAAUUUAACAUGGUAAUUUUAUUUCUGUUGACUCUAACAAUAAAAAAUUAGAG